RNAcentral lists this ribosomal RNA (229 nucleotides) under uncultured bacterium. Its description in RNAcentral is "partial 16S ribosomal RNA". It matches the Rfam family "Bacterial small subunit ribosomal RNA", at positions 118 to 347 of the family's 1533-position model. The record is from RNAcentral.
UGGGCAACCUGCCCUCAGCUCUGGGGUAACUCCAAGAAAUUGGGGCUAAUACCGGAUAUGACCGCUGACCGCAUGGUCUGGUGGUGGAAAGAUUUAUCGGCUGGGGAUGGGCCCGCGGCCUAUCAGCUUAUUGGUGGGGUAGUGGCCUACCAAGGCGGCGACGGGUAGCCGGCCUGAGAGGGUGACCGGCCACACUGGGACUGAGACACGGCCCAGACUCCUACGGGAG